This 440-nucleotide ribosomal RNA is filed under the name uncultured bacterium. RNAcentral's name for it is "bacterial SSU rRNA". It matches the Rfam family "Bacterial small subunit ribosomal RNA", at positions 338 to 795 of the family's 1533-position model. The record is from RNAcentral.
CCUACGGGGGGCAGCAGUGGGGAAUAUUGGACAAUGGGCGAAAGCCUGAUCCAGCAAUGCCGCGUGAGUGAUGAAGGCCUUAGGGUUGUAAAGCUCUUUUACCAGGGAUGAUAAUGACAGUACCUGGAGAAUAAGCUCCGGCUAACUCCGUGCCAGCAGCCGCGGUAAUACGGAGGGAGCUAGCGUUGUUCGGAAUUACUGGGCGUAAAGCGCACGUAGGCGGCUUUUUAAGUCAGGGGUGAAAUCCCGGGGCUCAACCCCGGAACUGCCCUUGAAACUGGGAAGCUAGAAUCUUGGAGAGGCGAGUGGAAUUCCGAGUGUAGAGGUGAAAUUCGUAGAUAUUCGGAAGAACACCAGUGGCGAAGGCGACUCGCUGGACAAGUAUUGACGCUGAGGUGCGAAAGCGUGGGGAGCAAACAGGAUUAGAUACCCCUGUAGUC